This 627-nucleotide ribosomal RNA is filed under the name Microbacterium sp. Its description in RNAcentral is "bacterial SSU rRNA". It matches the Rfam family "Bacterial small subunit ribosomal RNA", at positions 216 to 853 of the family's 1533-position model. The record is from RNAcentral. Lineage: Bacteria; Bacillati; Actinomycetota; Actinomycetes; Micrococcales; Microbacteriaceae.
UGGUUCGGGAUGGGCUCGCGGCCUAUCAGCUUGUUGGUGAGGUAAUGGCUCACCAAGGCGUCGACGGGUAGCCGGCCUGAGAGGGUGACCGGCCACACUGGGACUGAGACACGGCCCAGACUCCUACGGGAGGCAGCAGUGGGGAAUAUUGCACAAUGGGCGGAAGCCUGAUGCAGCAACGCCGCGUGAGGGAUGACGGCCUUCGGGUUGUAAACCUCUUUUAGCAAGGAAGAAGCGAAAGUGACGGUACUUGCAGAAAAAGCGCCGGCUAACUACGUGCCAGCAGCCGCGGUAAUACGUAGGGCGCAAGCGUUAUCCGGAAUUAUUGGGCGUAAAGAGCUCGUAGGCGGUUUGUCGCGUCUGCUGUGAAAACUGGAGGCUCAACCUCCAGCCUGCAGUGGGUACGGGCAGACUAGAGUGCGGUAGGGGAGAUUGGAAUUCCUGGUGUAGCGGUGGAAUGCGCAGAUAUCAGGAGGAACACCGAUGGCGAAGGCAGAUCUCUGGGCCGUAACUGACGCUGAGGAGCGAAAGGGUGGGGAGCAAACAGGCUUAGAUACCCUGGUAGUCCACCCCGUAAACGUUGGGAACUAGUUGUGGGGGCCAUUCCACGGUCUCCGUGACGCAGCU